CUUCCUCACCUUUUUUGGGGUGUUAUGCCAUUGGAUGUUCAUGUUCUUGAUGCUCAUGCUGAUCCUCAACCCGAACUUUGAUUGUGGAAGUAAAGCUGGCUGUCUUUGUUUCUGAUAAAGUACCGGAUAUUGUCAUGGGAGAUCCCGGAAGAUUCAGACAAAUAAUAACAAAUCUUGUAGGCAACUCUGUUAAAGUAAGUGGAAUUUCGAAGUUUAUCUGUCUGAUGUUAUUUGCAUUUGGAAAUGUCAUUUUGACUGUUUCAGUUUUCUUACUUUUAGAUUUAGCCUUUUCUUUUCUUCUUCCCCCCACUUUUUGCUGGCUAGUGUGGAAGAGGGCAAUGGUUUUAGUGCUCAAAUCCUUCAUAUUCAUUUUGUCCAUUGCAUUCAUGUAAUUUGCACGUCUUGCAGUUCACUGAACAUGGACAUAUAUUUGUCAAAGUCCAUCUAGGGGACAAUAGAAAGCCCACACUGAAUGGAAAACAUACAAAUGGAGAAUCAGAUGAAGUUUUCCAUAUAUCUGAUGAUUAUCAUUUCAAAACCUUAAGUGGACGUGAAGCAGCUGACGAACGGAAUAGCUGGGAUAAUUUUAAGCACCUAAUUGCUGAUGAAAAAUCUUGCCUUGAUUCUUCAAGAGAAACGGUGGCUACUAGUGAAACUUCUGAGCAAGUCACCUUGAGGGUGUGUGUGGAAGACACAGGAAUUGGAAUUCCUUUUUCAGCACAGGAUAGGAUAUUUAUGCCUUUUGUGCAGGCUGACAGCUCAACUUCACGAAAUUAUGGGGGAACUGGUAUUGGCUUGAGUAUCAGCAAAUGUCUGGUUGAACUAAUGGGUGGUAAGAUAAACUUCAUAAGCCGACCCCAGAUUGGUAGCACUUUCUCUUUUACAGCAGUUUGUGGAACCUUUAAGAAAAGUUCGGUUAGUGACAUGAAGAAAAGUUUGGAAGAUCUUCCUUCAAGUUUUAGAGGGCUGAAAGUCAUUGUCAUUGAUGGAAAACCUGUUAGAGCUGCUGUGACUAGAUACCAUUUGAAGAGACUAGGUAUACUAGUUAAAGUUGAAAAUAGCAUCAGUAAGGCUGUUGCUUUAUGUGGUAAAAGUGAUUCUUUGAACUCAGGGUAAGUUCUAUUUUUCCUUCUCUAUUUUGAUUUUUUGUUUGGAUAAAAUUAGAGUUAAUUAUGAAGAAACUGAAAGUGAUAAAAGAACUACAGUGGUAUCAACCUUUUGAUAUUGUCAUAACACAUGCUUGUGGUUUUAAAAAAGCCCUUUAAACUGACUAUGCAAGUUUAUACAUAUUUUGCAGUUUUAUCCGGGUGUUAUUGUUGGGAAGUCUCACAUGGCUUACCUCAAUUCUUGGGUGUGCCUUAUAUAAAGCAACUUUGUUUAAUGCCAAUUGAUUUUAAGAUGCAAUUUGACAGUGAUGUCGUGCUAUGGCCCCGUUUUUUGUUUGAUAAUGUAUUGGCAUAGUCAUAAUUCAAAUGCUAAGUUUCAGUAUGGAUAUUUUUCAAAUGUCUAUUGGUUGUGUUUCAGUUGUUUUCAAUUUGAAAUCAAUUCGUGACGACAUAUUUCUUGCUUGUGUCUAUUACUUGUAGUUUUUCAUUCUUGUGGCUUUUAUUAUUCUUGUAAGUUAUAUUGUGAAAUUGCUUGUGACUGUUUCUUUUACUACAUUUUGAGAAGAUGUGCUAUUACAAUGUUUUUUUGUUCAAGUUGCUUGGUUCAGUUCAUUCACUAAUGAAACUACUUGGAUGUGGCAGAACGUUCCUGCCAGAUAUUAUCAUGGUUGAGAAAGACACAUGGAUAUCGGGCGAGGAUGGGAUUUUCAAUGUAUGGAAACAGAAUGGUCACAUGUUUAAGAGGCCUAAAAUGAUCCUUCUGGCAACCAAUAUUAGUAAAACUGAAUUUGAUAAAGCUAAGGCCAUGGGUUUCAGUGAUACUGUGAUCAUGAAGCCUCUGAGAGCUAGUAUGGUGGCUGCUUGUCUUCAGCAAGUUUUGGGGAUGGGGAAGAAGAGGCAGCUAGGGAAAGACAUGCCUAAUGGUUCUGCUUUUCUACAAAGCCUUCUCUAUGGAAAGAAAAUCUUGGUGGUUGAUGACAAUGGAGUAAACCGAAGGGUUGCUGCAGGUGCUCUGAAAAAGUUUGGAGCUGAUGUGAAAUGUGCUGAAAGUGGCAAAGCCGCACUUGAAAUGCUGCAAUUGCCUCACAAUUUUGAUGCUUGCUUCAUGGACAUUCAAAUGCCAGAAAUGGACGGGUAUGCAUAUUUAUAUCGACUGUUAUUAUCGCUUCUUUUCCUGCUUUAUUACACAUGUUAGAGUUAUUUAUACUUAAGUACUUAGGAAAAUGUAGAUUCAUGUAAAUGCAUUUAGUGUUCAUGGUACUAUUGUCCAGGAAGUUACUCAAUAGCAUUUCAUGUUUGUUACAUCCUUAAGAUCUAUUAGAUAUAAGAGUUUUGUUACAUAUUAUGGCAAUGUAAAAACCUCAAUUUUCUCUAUAUCUUGGUUUGUUCAAACAUGUUCUAAUUCAUGGAAACAAAUAACUGUGUUUACACAUUCUGCAGAUUUCAAGCAACAAGCCAAAUUCGGAUGAUGGAGAGCAAGGCAAAUGAGGAGAUGAAGAAUGGGAGUGAGUGGCAUGUGCCUAUAUUGGCCAUGACAGCUGAUGUGAUCCAUGCUACAUAUGAUGAGUGCUUGAAACGAGGCAUGGAUGGAUAUGUCUCAAAGCCAUUUGAGGAAGAGAAUCUGUAUCAGGAAGUUGCAAAGUUUUUCAAAUCAAAGACCAUCUCAGACUCAUCACAAUCUGCUUCUUACUUGGCAACCAACUAGAACAUUGGAGACAACACAUUCUAGUACGAUUGCUUCUACCAUGUUGCAUGUAACUUGUUCUUAUGCUUAGAUGCAUAGAGUAGCACUUGUUUUUCCAACAUAUUUGAGUUCAUUGAUGAGGGAUCAUACUAACAGCUGCAGUUUGGUAUUGUUAGAGUAAAUGUAUACCACGCCACACCCCCCAACUGUGUACAGAUUAUGGGUAGGGUUCGAGUGAAAUUAUGUAAAUUCAAUGUUUUUUCCUUAUAUUAUUACUUCCCCACCCAUCAUUUACAAGGCUUUUUAAAGCAAUAGCUUUUUAUGUAAAUGUGUCAUGUAAUAGAUUUGGUCACUAAUAUUUAAAAGUGUGUGCUUAUGUUUAGUGCAGAACAUCUUUGGUGCAUGGAGAAAGGCCAAAAAGACAGUUUUGUUUGUUAAACAAAUCAUUAUUUAUUUAUAUGAAGUUGAAGUUGAAGUAAUUAUUCACUUACAUAUAGUUUGUUUGACAUUGUUUAUGAGAAUCUGAACUAACUUUUUACAGGUUCAAAUUUCAGUUUCAAAAUCUUGCAAAUUUACAUUAGUUAGUAUGAUUAUUUGGACUUCUCUUUUCAUUGUGAUGUUUUAGCAGAUAUUUGGCAAACAAUUGAGUAAUGCACAACUGCUAUGGUUAGGUACAACAGUUUUUCAUUUUCUUCUCUAAUUGCAAAUUCUGGUGCAAAUGCACCUGAUUGAGGAAGAUGGUACUAAAGUCAAAUGUUCAAUAAUAAUUGAAAUAUAUAUAACAUGCAAACAUGUUUCUUUUGCUGAAUUUUAAAAGUAUGACAUAAGUACACAUUAGUGGGUUAGGAAGUGCUGGAAUGUCGUAUAGAAAAACAGCAAUUUUAAGAACAGAAGACCAAAACAAAGUUAUACAAGAAAGUUUGUUGGCAGUUAUUGACCUUCAUUCUUGUAUUCAUUAUUUAAUAUCAGCAACUUNNNNNNNNNNNNNNNNNNNNNNNNNNNNNNNNNNNNNNNNNNNNNNNNNNNNNNNNNNNNNNNNNNNNNNNNNNNNNNNNNNNNNNNNNNNNNNNNNNNNNNNNNNNNNNNNNNNNNNNNNNNNNNNNNNNNNNNNNNNNNNNNNNNNNNNNNNNNNNNNNNNNNNNNNNNNNNNNNNNNNNNNNNNNNNNNNAUAUAUAUAUAUAUGGUUACAGAAUAAAAAAGAAAGAUAAUGAACAUUACCUAACAUCACAUUGAUUCUCCCACAUUGGGACACCAUCUUUUAGUUGCUUUUAGCCGCCACUAAUUUGGCUUAAUUACCAACAUAUCAUUGACUUAAAAGUGUGAUCACAAAAUGGGGAACCAAAAUGGAAAAUGCACCAAUUUAGGUCAACUUUCAUAACAUCAAAAUUAAACAUGUUUGGUUGAUUCCACAACUUCUCUUCAUCACCCUUUUCCAUUUUAUUCCUAAAAUUCACAGAACUAUUAUAUUUUUUUUUAUAUGAAUAAAAUAUGUUCAUGAUUGAAUCCUCUCCCCCUUUGACUUUCUUGACUUACCCUCCCUAACACACUGAUAUUUUGGCCUUUAAAUACUGAGAUUAUAGAUAGAUGGAUUUUCCUUGUGACUUCUUAUGUGAGGGUUUUUGCUUUAUCUUUGUUUUGUCUUCAGUCCAUCACCAUGGUUUUUGGAUGGUGCUGCUCUGUGUGUCUCUUAUUUGUCUUGGUGGGUUUGAGAGUAGAGGAAGCCAAUGCUCAGUUUUAUAGAAAAGUUGGAACAAAACACUUACCUUACUGGUCAAUAGUGGUGGAUCAAUCAGGGCAUGGAAACUUCACUACAAUACAAUCUGCCAUUGAUUCAGUCCCUUCUCACAACAUGUAUUGGGUUUCCAUCAAGGUCAAGGCUGGUACCUAUAGGUAAAACUAUAAUAUUCUCAUAUGCACAAGUUUAUCAACCAUUCAUGUUAUAUGUUCAAGAUGUUCAAGUUAUAACCAAACAUGUUAUAAGCUACAUUUUAUUUUUUGGUUUUGAUGGUAUUCAAUUUGGUUUCUUCAAGAGUAUAUGAAAUAUAUCAUGUGGUAUUAGGUUAUUAUUGGAGGUCUUACAUCGAUUAGAGAUAAAAACAUUUGAUAAUAUAUAACUGAAUGUAAACUUCAUCUUAAAAAUCGGUUUUAUAUGAUUGAGUUAGGUUUAAAGUUUACUUCGUAAUAUGGUAUAACCAUUUAGAGUCUAUUCCUAGCGAGAGUUUGUUGGACUUAUCAAAUCAGCCGCUAACAGACCAGUCUUAACAUGAGAGAUGUGUGUUGGAGACUCCCAUCGAUUAGAUAUAAGGACAUUUUAUAAUAUAUAAGUGAGUGUCAGUCUCGACAUGAGAGAUGUGUGUUGAAGAUGUCACAUCAAUUAAAUAUAAAGACAUUUUAUAAUAUAUAAAUAAGUACAAAACUCACGUAAAAAAUCUGUUUUAUAAUAUUAAGUUACACUUAGGGUUUAGGGUUUACUUCUGAAUAAUUAUAAAUUUUCUAACAAUAAAAUGGAUAAACAACACUCAUAUGGUAUAAAAAAUUAACAAAUUGAUGCAUAUUAUCAAUGUUAUACUGUUAGUAUAAUACACCAUACUAUGUAUUGGAUUAGUACAUGAAUUGUUUUGUAGUGUAAUUAGGGUAUGAUGAUGAUAUAAUUAAUAAUUUUGUUGAUUUUGAAUGAUUUUAUCUUGUUUAUGUUCAGAGAAAAAGUGAAGAUUCCUUAUGAUAAGCCUUACAUCAUAUUAAAAGGGGAGGGAAAGAGAAGAACUUUUGUUGAGUGGGAUGACCAUGAUAAUACCUCACAGAGUCCUACGUUUGCAGCCAUGGCUGACAAUAUUGUUGUCAAAUCCAUGAGCUUUAGGGUAAGAAUGUUCCAUCUACUGUUUCUUUUCAAACCUUUCUGUUUCCCACUUUUAGGUCAAAUUAAUGUUGUUCUUUAUUUUUAUUUUUCUUAAUUUACUAUAAAAAAAAUUAUUAAAUAAAAAUUAAUUUUAGAAAAAUAAUAAUUAAUCCUUAUAUUAAGUAAAUUAAAUAUUAUUUUAAAAAUUAAAAAAAAAUAUUAAUAUAAAUUAGUUUAUAUUAUUGUUAAUAAAAUUUAUAAAUUAGUUUAUAAAUCGGUAACAAAUUAGACACUGAAAUUUUAGCAAUCAAUUUUAGAAUCUAAAUAAUUAGUAGUUAAAAUCUUAAUAAUUAACUAGAGUUACUAAUCUAGAAACUAAUUUAUAAAUUUUAUGAAUAAUAAAAACUACUUUAGAUACCAAUAAUUUUUUUAUUUUUUAAAAUAAUAUCUAAUUUAGUUAAUAUAGUGACUAAUUAUUUUUUGUCUCUAAAGUUAAUUUUUUUUAGUUAUUUUCUUGUAGUGAUGAAAUUAUUCCUUUACCUUUAAAUUUUUGAUUUAGUUAUUUAUGAUUUUUUAAAAUAUAUUUCCUAUUUAAGCCAUGAUAGCCAAAUAUUUGACAAUGAAUUUGCUCAAUUCAUAUUAUAUUCCAGAAAUACAUAUUAGGAAUUAAAUAGUCUAUUAAAUAAUAUGAUUUUUGCUUACUUUAAUUAGGUCAAUGAAGCAAUAAUGUUAUGAAUUGAAAAUCCUACCUUUUAUUUUUUCAAGAAGGAAAAAAAUACUUUCUUUUACUUAUUAUUAAAAACUGAUGGUAUAUCUAUUUUUCUUUUAGAAAAAAAUAAAUCUUUAGUUAUAUUAUAAAGUAAAAAAUUGAAUUGAAUAUUGAAAUUUAAAUAUUAAUAUUAAUGUUGUAUUUUCACAAAUUAAAACAUUAAUAUAUCGAUUUGAAAAUCCAUAAACUAAAAUAUUGACAAAAAAAAUAUAAGAACUAAAAAUAAACUUUCCCUUUAUUUUAUAUUAUGCUCUUACGCAGAAUUUACAAAUGGAACUUUUCCUUCUUUUUUUCUUUUCUUUUUUCACAUUUUUCAAUAAUUUUGUUCUAUUCUCUUCCUUAAAAGUGCAAUCCACGUACACAGUUAGUAAAAUAUUUUCUCUCAACAAUUUCAAGUAUAUUUUUUUUUCUUUCUUUGUUGUCUUUUUAUGACUAAUUAAAUUACAUUUUUAAAAUGUUAUUCAUUAAAAUAAUUUUGUAUCACACUUUAAAUUAUUGAUUAUAAAUUUACAAUAGAUUUACGUAUUUGAAACUUCAAUUAAAAAAUUAUAUAGGAUUAAAAUACUAAUUACGUAUAAUUAAUAAUCCUAAUUUUCUUGCAUAGUCCCAUCACAUAUUUGUGUGUUUCCUACUCACUUUUCACGUUGAAAAUUGAGAAAAAAUAAUUAUUUGACCAAGUUUUUUAUUAUUAGUCUCAAGUAUUUUCUGGAAUUCAAACCAUUGCUGAUUUCUACAAAGUUAUUACUCCCAUUGAAUAUUUUCGGUUGAACAUUUUUCCAACAAAAAAAUAAUAAUUAUCACUUAGAAUAUGGUAGUUCCAAUCUUAUAAAUUUUUAUUCCAUUUACAAUUUUACAAACAUUAAAUGAUGAAAAUAAUUAUAUAAUAUAUUUUUUUUCUGGUCAAAAGGGAAGGGGCACAAGUUAAUAUAAUUCUAAAAAUUAAUUUUAUAAAAAAUAAUAAUUAGUUGUUAUAUUGAUUAGUUUCUAUUAUCUGUAUAAUUAGCUAUCAAGAUUUUAAUCAUAAUAUUUAAUUUAGUUAAUAUAAUAAUUUUUUUUUUCUUUUAUUGAAUGAUGUUCUUGUAGUGGAUAUAUAUAAACAAACUUAAUCAUAAAAUUUAAUUAAAAUCUUUAAUUGAUUAAUUAGUGUAUUUAAUGAGAUGAAUUAGAAAUUAUUAUUAUUUUGUACAUAUUAAAUUGUUUCAUUAUAAUUGUAAAUAAUAAUUAUAAUUUAUAUACCGUUAAGGAUUCAAUUUAUAAUAUCAUUGAAUAUAUAUAUCUUUCAAAUAAAAUAAUAAAAUAAUAAAAUCAAAUAAUACUUCAAUUAUGUCUUAAUUUUAAUUUUUAAGAUUAAAAAAGGUUGAUAAAUUAAGUGUAGUGGACUGAAAAUAUCAAGUUUUCCCACUAAUUAUUGCACUAAAUAUAACCUUCUUCUUCUGAGUUAGUUUUAAAGUUAUAUCAAAUAUAAAUUCAAAUUAUGAAAAUCAUCAUAAAUAAUAUUGUUGUUUUAUUAUCAGUAAAUAAUAAAUACAGGUAAUACAAGUAUUUGAGGAUGUUCUAAUACAUGUAUGAAACAUAUACCACUUCACACAUAACUUCUUAAUCUCUUUCUAGAUUUUGUUUGGAAGUAAAAAAAAUUGUGUUUAGUUUUGCAAAAUAAGAUUAAGUUGUGAUAAUUUUGUUGAACUUUGUGUAUGUGGAAAAGAAUUCAUACAACAACCCAAUAAAUAGUAAAGCCAAGGUGCCUGCUGUGGCUGCAAUGGUGAGUGGAGACAAGUCUUACUUUUUCAGAGUUGGUUUCUUCGGUUUGCAAGACACUUUAUGGGACGACACAGGAAGACAUUACUACAACCUUUGUACCAUUCAAGGUGCCAUUGAUUUUAUCUUUGGUGCAGCACAAUCACUAUUUGAGGUACCAAUAAUAAUAACUUUUACUUUUAAUUUCUAUUAACAAGUUAAUUAAUUUUAACUUAGUUUCAUAAAAUCGAUUCAGACGGUAAAAUUUGUAUUUACUUGUAUAUUAGGGUUUAUGGUAGAUUUGUAUCUACUUUAUCUAUAAUCGAGGUAGAUUUUCAAGAUUCAAGUUUGUAUUUACUUAUAUAUUAUAAAAUGUCUUUAUCUAUAAUCGAGGUAGAUUUUUGAUCUCGUCAAAUUACAAAUUGGAAGACUUAGAUGCUUUCUUUCUCCUUUUCUCUCCUUUAAAAAUCAUCCCUCUCUUAAAUAGUGUUUAAUUCAGCUUAUAUACUAACUUACUCAAAUAUCUCAACAUGAUAUACCUAGUCUUUGUUCCGAGUUAAACAACUACUUUUAUUUGAUAAUAGGUCAGUCAAUUGAUUGACCUAUCCGAACACCACAAUUUUCAAAGACUCAAAUUUAUAACAACUUUAGUUUUCUUUCUCAAAUUUGAUAGAAAAAUAGUUUGAUGUAUGAAUCAUUUUGAUAAAUAUACUUUUAUUUGAUAAUAAGUCGGUCUAUUGAUUGACCUAUCCGGACAACACAAUUUUCGAGACUCAAAUUUGGAAUAAUUCUAGUUUUUUUUUUUUUUCAAAUUUGAUAGAAAAAUGGUUUUAUGUAUGAGUGAUUUUGAUAAAUAUGUAUUGAUUUUGUUGGUAGAGGUGUUCCAUAUCUGUGAUUGGAGGGGCACUAGAUCCUGGGUCACCAGGUUUCAUCACAGCACAAGGGAGAACAAAUUCAGAAGAUGGAAAUGGGUUUGUUUUCAAAGAUUGCCAUGUGUUUGGAAAUGGUUCAACUUACUUGGGGAGGCCUUGGAGAAAUCAUGCUAGGGUUUUGUUUUACAAGACCAACAUCUCCAACAUUGUACAACCUUCUGGUUGGAAUGCAGGAAAAUUUGAUCCAUAUCAGUAUGUUUUGUUCCCUCUUUCUCAAUUAAUCACACAUUCUUUACAUUAACACAAGCUUAAUUCAUUCAUGUUAAUAUAUAAAUAUAUGAUUAGUAUAUGAUUAAACAACUAAUAAUGUAAAAAAAAUAAAUUAUCAUAAAAAGUGAUUUAAGCUAUUAGGAAAUCAACUUUUAAAGUGUAUUUCAACUCUUAUUAAGAAAGAGAACUUUAAACUUAACUCAACUUUAUAAACCGGUUUAUAAGGUGAUAUUUUUAUUUUUUUAUUUAUAUAAUAUAAAAUAUUUUUAUUUUUAAUCGAUGUGAGAUCUCUAUCAUAAACUAACUUUUAAACUAGUUAGGAGUACGAGUGUAUUAAUGAAUUUCGUUGACGCUUAAAAAAAAUAUUACUCAUUCACUUUAUAUAAAGAUUGAAGUAAAAAAUAUUACUCAUCCACUUUAUAUAAAGAUUGAAGUAGUUUUUUUUUUAUGUUUUUCAUAUUAAUUUAAUUUAUUUUUGUGAUAAAAAAAAAAUGUAAAAAGUUGUUAGAUCAAUCAUAAUACUACAAAAUGAUAUAUUACUCUCUAACCUAACUAGUUAAAGAAAAUUUGUAACACCAAAAAAAUAUAUCAAACUUAUAUAAAAAGCUUUUAUGUCUCUUAUUUAUCUCUUUCAUAACAAUGAAUUUUCAUUUCACACACAUCUUGCAAAGUUUUGUGGUUGAACUUUCUUCUCUUCAAAACUGUUGUAUAGAGUUUGUUAGUAGACAAACUAAUGAAGCUUCUCAAUCUUUUACAAGUCAUCUAAAUCUUUUGCUUGUGAACAAAACUUUGAUUUUAAUUAAAUGUAGUUGAAACUUUGUGAUCUAAUAUAAGGUUUUGGGUAUAAAAAAAUUGCAGGGGUGGCAUAACAUUUGCAGAGUAUGGGAAUUUUGGGCCAGGUUCUGACACUUCUGAAAGAGUGAGUUGGAGCAAGAAGUUGGACUUAGAAACAAUUGAGAAUAUGACAAGCACCAAGUUCAUAGACACUGAUGGUUGGCUUCACAAACAACUAUUUUAAUGCAAACAUCUAAACAAAAUUACUAAACAAAUAUACAAAACUUGGUUAAUUUAGGAUUUAUUUAUAGAAAAACAUUUCAUUAGUAUAAUAUGUUUUUCUUUAGUAUGUUCUUAGAAUUCUUUAUGAAUAGAUAUAAUCUAUUUAUGUAUCGUUUUUGUUAACAUAUGAGUUUUAGUCUAGUUCUUCCAUAUUUUUGUAUUUACUUUUUUUUUAAUAAUAUUUUUUCAUGUGAUGACAGAUGAUUGUUGUUACUUGAUGUGUAGCCUAGUUCUGAGAUGUCAAGUUGCAUGGUGAUGCCUAACAUAAAAGCAUUUUUAUAAAAAAAAUAAAUAUACAAAAGUCAUAACAUACUAAAAAAAAUCACUAAAUAGAAACCAAUUUUAGAGACAAAAAACAAUUAAUCAUUAUAUUAACUAAAUUAAAUAUUAUUUUAAAGACUAACAAAAUUAUUGGUAUCUAUAAUAGUUUCUGUUAUUUAUAAAAUUUAUAAAUUAAUUUAUAAAUUGAUAUCUAAUUAGUUAUUAAGAUUUUAGUUACUAAUUACUUUAAAUUCUAAAGUUGGUAGCUAAACUCUUAGUAUCUAAUUAAAUACCAAUUUAUAAACUAGUUUAUAAAUUUUAUUAACAAUAAAAAUUAAUUUAGAUACUAAUAAUUUUUUUAAUCUCUAAAAUAGUAUCUAAUUUAGUUAAUAUAGUAACUAUUUAUUUUUUUCUCUAAAAAUUAGUUUUUAUUUAAUGAUUUUAUUGUAGUAUUGAUAACUUCAUACUAGGAACAAUUAAUCAAAUACUUUAAAAUUAUCAAAUGAUUUGCACAAUCUUGUUACAAUAGGUUCAUUAACCUUUUUAAUUCAAUAAUCAAUGUAGUUUACCUUUUAGGUAGAGAAUUAGUUUAUAUAUACAUGGUCUUAUUAGUGUGAUUGGAUUUGUGUUUUUUAUUUUGUCUCAAAUCCAUGACAUAUUUUUUCUAAUAAAAUGAAAAUAUUAUUAUUGAUUAGUUCAAUUUUGGUUUAUUUGUAUUUUUUUUCUUACUUCCUAAAGCAACCAGUUUUGAUUUCGAUUUCUACAAAAAAAUUCUAAAAUUGAAAAUUAGUAUUUUCUUUCACAUUAUUAUGUAGUAAUAAUUAUGUGUUUAUGUGCUAAAUAAAAAAAAUGGCGCACACUAAUCUUGAGAUAUAAUGUUAACAUGUAACAUUUUAAAAAGUUUUAAAUUAAUAAUUUAUCUAUAAAGACUUAAAAGUACUGAUUUCAAAAUUUUGAGAAAUAAAAAUUAAAGAAAAUAUUUCAGAGAGAUUAAAACUAAAUUUCAUAAUAAUUAAAAGAAUUUAUUUUUCUAUAAAUGAAAAAUAUAUAGGAAUUUUCUUAUAGAGAUUAAAAUCAAAAUCAUUAAUUUUAUAAUAACUAAAAAGACAUGUGUAUGUGUAAAAAAAAAUAAUAGAAAUGAACAUUUUAGUUUUUACUUCUAAAUCCCAAGUUGGUUUACGUUCAAUCUUUCUUUCUCAAUUGUAAAAUAAACAAUUAUAAGUAUUUUUUUCUGUCAUUUUGGUUUAUACACAAAUACAUAAAAUCACUUAUAACUAUUCACUUAUAUCCUCCUUAGAUAAAUAUAUAAUAUCACUCCUAAUAAUAUAACAAAAGUUAUUUUAGUGAUUAAAACACCAUCCAAAAAUUCAGUUAUCGUAUAAUUAAUUGAAUGAACAUUUAUACACUAAAGUUGAAAACUAGAAGUCGAAAUUAUAUUUUUCAAAAAUUAGAUUUUGAUGAUCCACCAAACGAUCUUUCUCCACUCUAGUUCAUUAUUGAAAACAAAAAUACCUCCAAAAUUCGACUUCUUAAAAACCAAAUUAUGAAAACCUUUAUUUUACAAAAAUAAGAAACAAAGGUGAAAAUUCGGGUGAUUAGGAACCGAAUUCUCACCGUGAACCAAAAAGGUGUUAUCCAUGCACUAGAAGAAAAUAAUUAAAUUGUAACUAAUUUUAGAUACCAAAAUAAUUAGUUACUAUUGGACUAAAUUAGACACCAUUUUAAUGACUAAAAAAAUUAUUAGUAUCUAAAGUACUUUCUAUUAUUAAUAAAAAAUUAUAAAGUAAUUUUUAAAUUAGUAUCUAACCAUUCACUACAAAUAUUUUAACUACUAAUAAUUUAGAUUCUAAAUUAGUCACUAGAAGACUAAUUGAGAUCAAUUUAGAAUCUAAAAUAUUAAUAGCUAAACUUAGAUAACUAAUUUAGAUAUCAAUUUAGAAACCAUUUUAUAAAUUUUUAUCAAUAAUAGAAACCACUUUAAAUAUAAAUAGUUUUUUAAUCUCUAAAAUAAUAUAUAAUUUAGUUAAUAUAAUAAUUAAUUAUUUUUUUUAUCUAAAUUUGAUUACUAUAUAAUGAUUUUUUUUGGUAGUGAUAGAAUUAAAUAGGAAAUGGUGUUAUCCAAGAAAAUAAUUCUCAAAUAAAAAUGUCAUUGUGGUGAAGAAAGUCUAUUAUUUCUUAAUUAAUUGCCUAUAAGCAACGUCUUGGUCUCAUGAUUUAUUGUAAUAAUAAAAUGUGUUCAAACAAUAUGUUAUAACUCAUCACAUGUCAUCUUAUAUUUAUAUUUUUCUAACGUUACAUCUUUUAAGCAUUAAUUAAGAAGUUAAACCGAGUUUAUUUAUUUUAUGCAAAUGAAGGUUAUUAUAUCACUACAAGAAAAUCAUAAAAAAGAAACCAUUUUUUAGAAACUAAAAUAAUUAGUUGCAAUAGUAACUAAAUUAGAAAUCAUUUUAGAAACUAAAAAAAAAUGUUUAUAAAUUAAUUUCUAUUAUUGUUAAAUAGUUUCUAAUCUGAUAUCUAAUUAGCUACCAAAGUUUUAACUACCAAUUAUUUAGAUUAUAAAUUUGGUAGCAAAAACUUUGGUUGUUAAUUAAAUACCAAUUUAGAAACCAUUUAACAAUAAUAUAAACUAAUUUAGAAACAAAAAAUUUAUUUAGUCCCUACAAUGGUCUCUAAUUUAGUCACUAUAACAACUAAUUAUUUUUUGUAUCUAAAAUUGAUUUCUAUUUCAUGAUUUUCUUGUAGUGUAUAUAACACUUAAAUAAAGCCAAAUUUAUAUAUAUAUAUAUAUAUAUAUAUAUAUAUAUAUAUAUAUAUAUUAAAAUAUAUGAAUUCUUCACGAAAAUGUACAUACAAAAAUAUUAAUAUAUACUUAUACAAAUAUACUUCACAUAAAAAAUAUCAUAUUUUUUGUGAAGGGAAUGUGUGUGCUGAUAAGUUGACUAAUUUAAGAUUUAUGCAUAGAGAAUCAUUUCAUUGGUAUAAUAGACUUCCAUCUAGUUUUUUCUUAGAAUUCUAUCGUUUUUGUUAACAUUUGAGUUUUCGUAUAGUCCUCCCAUAUUUUUGUAUUUUUUUUUUUUUUUGACAAAUGAUUGUUGUUACUUGAGGUGUCAACCUAGCUGAGAUGUCAAGUAGCAUAGUGAUGCUUAACAUAAAAGUUUUUUUAUAAAAAAAAGAAAAUACUCAUCACAUAAAAAAUAUCAAUAUAAUUUGUUAAGGUUAGAAAGUAUACCAUCACAAGAUUUUUUUCUAAUAACAACUAAUUUAUAAAAAAAAUAUAAUGACUAAGUUAGAUAUUAUUUUAUAAAUAUAAUGAAUUUUAUUAACCAUUACAAUAAAAUCAUUAAAUAGAAACUAAUUUUAGAGAAAAAAAUAAUUAGUUAAUAUAUUGACUAAAUUAGAUAUUAUUUUAAAAAUUAAAAAAUUAUUGGUAUCUAAAAUAUUUUAUAAAUUGGUAUAUAAUUAACUACGAAUAUUUUAGCUACCAAUACUUUAACUCCAAAUAUUAGAAUAUAAAGUAAUUGAUAACUAAAAUCUUAGUAGCUAAUUACCUACUAAUUUAAACUAUUUUAAUACAAAUAAAUUUUAAAUUUUUAAACUCUCUAAUUUAAUAAAAAUAAUAAUUAAUUAUUUUUAUCUUUAAAAUUGAUUUCUAUUUAAUAAUAAAAUUGAUCUCUAAAAUGGUAAUCAAAAUAGUAGUGAGUAUUUACAUAUAUUAAUAAUAAAAUUUUACAAUUAUUUUUGUAUAAUAAUAAGUUAAUAAAUUCAUAUUUUUAUCGUUUUGGUAAUAUUUAUGUAGAAGUAUAAAUGCAUACUAAUUUAUUUAGUUAGUUCUAUUAAAUAUAUAUUUAUUAAGUUAUAUUUAUUAAUUCCGUUAAAAAAAAGUUAUAUAUAUAGCAAUGUUAUUUUAUUACCAUGUUGUAAGAAACUGAAUAAUAUUAUUAAUCUCAUUUAUUAAUAAUAUAAUUAUAACUAAUAAAUGUAUAACAUGUAUAAAUUAACAUUUUUAAUAAAUUAAAUUAUACUCACAGUUCAUAUAGUUUUAAAUUAAUCAGUGCCUUUGUUACGUUUUAUUAAGAUGACACUCUCAUCUCAUUUUUUUUAAUAAAUAUUUACCUUGUUUAUAAUUUUAAUACAUAUUAAUUCUAUAAAAAUCUUUUAAUUCUAACUUCAAUCAAUUUAUCUAACUGUUUUUUUUAAAUAUUGGUUUAAAAAAGAUUUAAAUUACUAACAAAUUUGCAAUAGUAAAAAAAGUAAAACUAUUUCGUAUUUCCCUUCAAUCUUAUUAUGCAAGCAUAAAGUAACAAAAAACUAUAGACAAAUUGAAAAUUGAAAUGAAGAUUUAAUAAAGUUAGAUAUUAUUAAAAUUAAGAUAUCAAAAUUGCAUAAACAAAAUUCAGGGAAUAAAAUUACAUAUAACUAAUAAAUAAAGGAUAAAAUUUUGAAAAAUAUUUAACCGCCAAAUUACAGUUUUUGUAAUAUAAAAGGACCUAUAUACAAUUAAGUCUAAAAAAUAUAUUUAUUUUCCAUAUUUGAAACAUUUUAUUUUUUAUUAAAUAUUUUUAUUAAUUUUAUUGAAUACGUUACUUUUAAAUAUAAAAAAAUGAAAAUAAGGGUAAUUUUAUUAAAAAAAUAAGGAAAACAUGUGUCAUUUAUUUAAAUAUAAAAAUUAAAAAGGUGAAUAUUAUUUAAAAACUGGAAAGAAUCUUUUAUCAUUUUAUUAAAACUGAAAAAUAUGCAUUUAUUUUAAAAUAAAAGAGAUGAAAACAUAAUUUAAGAUGAAGUUAGAUACAAUUUAGCCUAUUUAUAAAAAAAAUCAGUAUUUGUUAUAUAUUUAUAUAUAAUAUUAUUUGAUUUGGAAGAAAUGUGGUAAAAGUGAGAAUACAUAUUGAGAAAGAAUCCCUUUUAUUAAUUAGUAAUAAAUAAUUGAGCAUCCGUAUUAGGGAAAAUAUAUACACAAAAGGAAGUUGUUAGAAAAAUAAAUAAAAAAUCAAAUAAAAAGAAAUGACAAAUUAAGAAGAUAAAUAUUGAAAUGAAUUAAUAUAUUAAUAGUAAUUAUUGGAGCAUUUAUUUUAUAAUUUAUUAGCCACUAACAGAAGAAUUGAUUUUUUUUUUUACUUAAAAAAUAUAAUUUUUUUGAUCAUCUAAAGUAUAAAAAUAUAUUUAUAUAUAAAAAAAUAUUCUCUUGAUCUUCAUGCAUAUAUGUGAUUUUUUUAGAAUCAUAAAUUAUUAAAGAAAUUGGUUUUAAUAUAAAAACUUUUCAUUCUCUUACUUUGUCCUCAUCAUCAUAAAAGAAUUUGUCUUUAAAUACUAACUCUCAUUAGCACAAACUCUCUUGAAUUUGUCCAUUCAUUCAACCAUUAUUCAACAAAUUAGUUGAAUUUCCUUCCCUAUUCUCUAGGAAACUUGUGUUUUUCUCUCAUCAUGUUUCUUGCACUCUCUUCUUUCGUAACCCUCUUUCUUUUGGCUUCUAAUGAAGUUGUGUUAGCAAAUUUUCACCAUUAUCAUCACCAUGUUCAGGAUGAUAAGUCAGUGCUUGUUGAGAGGUUGAUUACUGUUGAUCAAUCUGGGCAUGGAGACUUCACCAAGAUACAAGCUGCCAUUGAUUCAGUCCCUUCCAACAACAAGAACUGGAUUUCCAUCAAAGUCAAUUCAGGCACCUACAGGUAAAAUACUGUUUAAAAUUAAAAUAAUAUUUAUGGAUUCAGAUACACAGACACUCUUUGCUACUACACUCCCAUCUAACAAUCAAUCACUUUUUAAGGUUUAUAUGGGAAUGUACAACAGAGAGUAUCGUAUCAUGAUAUUUUCUGUCAGUACACUCCCAUUUAACAAUCUGUCAUUUUUUUAAGGUUUAUAUGAGAGUGGACGACAAAGAAUAUCGUAUCAUGAUAUGCUCAUACUUUUUGUCAGCACGCUCCCAUUUAACAACUAGACAUUUUUUAAGAUUUAUAUGGGGGUGUACGAGAAAGAGUAUCGUAUCAUGAUAUGCUCAUACUUUUUGUCAGCACGCUCCCAUUUAACAACUAGACAUUUUUUAAGGUUUAUAUGGGGGUGUACGAGAAAGAGUAUCGUAUCAUGAUACGUUCAAUCCUUUUUUUUUGUCAGUACAAUCCCAUUUAACAACCAGUCAUGUUUUAAGGUUUAUGUGGAAGUGUACGAGAGAAAGUAUCCUAUCAUAACAAGUUAACACUUUUUGUCAGUAUACUCCCAUUUAUUAAGGUUUAUAUGGGAGUUUACGAGAUAAAUAAUGUGUCGUAUCAGUAUCAGUAUUCGAAAUUAUCUGAUGUGUGUUGUAUUGUCGAUUGAAGGGAGAAGGUGAUGAUUCCUGAAGACAAGCCUUAUAUAGUCCUAAAAGGAGUGGGAAAAAGGUGCACCAUUGUUGAGUGGGAUGACCAUGAUUCAAGUGCACAGAGUCCUACAUUCUUAAGCAUGGCUGACAAUAUUGUGGUCAAGGCCAUAACCUUCAGGGUGAGAAAUAAAUGCCUCUUACGGUUUCUUAAUUACUGCUUCUGUUUCACAAAUUGCAUUAAUUAUUUUUCUUUAAUUCAUUCAAUUCAAUUCAUUUUUUAUUAUUUAUUUUGUCCAUACAUAUUCCCUAUACAUUUCAUUUUCCCUAUCUCUUUGGAGUAAUAAUGAACAGUCUCAUGGUAACUAUAUGUUGAAAACUCUUGGUAUAACCUAAUUAUCAUGCCUCUACAUAUAAACAUUUUUGCUUUUUAAUAUUAUUUAAACAUUUUUCGUAUGGAAAUCUCCAUCUUUAAUUAGAAAAUAUACACAAAAUAAGAGUCAUUACAACCAUUAUUAUCAGUUUCAAAAUUUCUUCCUAAGUUUUCCAAAUUAAUGAGGUUGACUUUUUUGGUAAUUGGAGAAAAUAAAAUAAUAAAAAGUUAGACUGGUAAUGUUUUUAUGAUGGUAACUGGAAAAACGUACGUCAACAACCACCUUCGUUUUUAUAAAUAUUUAAUUUAUAUCCAUUUUAUAUAAUUAAUUCCCAAGAUUUUUUCUGAAAAAAAGUUUAAAGAAGUUUAAUUCGUUACACGUAUUUUCUAAAGCAUUUUGGAAGGGCUAUGCCAAAACGUAAUGAUAAUAACAAUAAUCAUUAAUUAAUAAAAAUCAAGUUGAGAUUAUUAAUUGUUUGUUUUAAUAAAUGUAUUUCAUUUAAUGGAAAUUUCAUUCAUUCAAUUUCUUAAUUAAUGACUGUAAAUAUAAUUAAAUAUUUCUUUAAAUGAGAAAAUGUAAUUUUGGUUUGACAUUGUUGAGCAGAAUACUUACAAUGAUGCAAAGAAAGGGAACCCCAUGACACCUGCAUUAGCUGGAAUGAUAACUGGAGACAAGACAUCAUUCUUUCAAGUUGGCUUCUAUGGUUUGCAAGACACUUUGUGGGAUGUUAAAGGAAGACACUACUUCAAUUCUUGCACCAUUGAAGGUGCUAUGGAUUUCAUCUUUGGUGCUGGUCAAUCUUUACAUGAGGUAAUAAUAAUAAUAAUAACAAGGUUAAAUAUAUAUUUUUAUCCUGUUUCAAACUUUAAAUAUCUGUAGUAAUGAAAUUAUUAGAAUCAAUCCUUACUAAUACAUGUAGCAGACAAAUCAGUAAUUAUCCAUGUCAGCCAUCAGUAAUUAUCCAUGUCAUUUAUGAGAGUCGGUAUGAAAUAUUUUAACAUUUUUGUUCACAUUAAAAAUCCGUUUCACACGUGAAAAAGGCUGACAAUGGUUAGUUUCAAUAAUUUUCUUAGGGUUUAAAGUUUAGACACGGACGGAAAACAAAUUUUCAGAGUAGAUUAUAUUAUAAUAUCUUCAUCAACAAUUAUCCAUGUUAGCCAUGAGAGUCAGCAUGGAACAUUUUUGUUCAUAUUGAAAAUCCGUUUCACACGUGAAAAAGGCUGACAAUGAUAAUUUCAAUAAUUUUCUUAGGAUUUAAAGUUUAGACAUGGACGAAAAACAAUUUUGAGAUUUUGAGUAAAAAUACACUGACGAAAAACAAUUUUGAAUGAAAGUACAUUGACAAAAACCAUAUUUAACCCUAAUAAUGAAAAUGUUAUGAUGUUGGUUUCUCUAUGGUUAUUUAUGUGCAUUUCAUCAAACACUUAUUCUUUAGUGAUCUAAAAUUACAAUUUGAAUCAUUUUUUUUUUCAGAAUUGUAUGAUAUCAGUUCGUGAAGCGUUUCCAGGUAAAGCAGUGAUAGGUUUCAUCACAGCACAAGGGAGGACAGAUCCAGAAGAUUCAAAUGGUUUUGUUUUCAAGAACUGCAAAAUCUUUGGAGUUGGUAAAACUUACUUGGGAAGACCAUGGAGAGACUAUGCCAGAGUUCUUUUCUACAAAACUAUGAUGUCUUCCAUCGUCCAACCACUAGGUUGGCAGCCAUGGAACUCCACUUCCAAUGUGUAAGUUCUUCUUCUUCUUCUUCAAUCUUUCUUUCUUUGCAUUAAUCAUGGUUUUUCAUUGAAAGGUGUUUGAGAUUCCACAUCGACUAAAGAUUAAGACAUUUCAUAGUAUAUAAGUGAGUGUAAUCUUUACCUUAUAAGACAGUUUUAUAAGGUUGAGUUACAUUUCAUAGCAUAUAAGUGAAUGCAAACUUCAUCUUAUAAACUGAUUUUAUAAGGUUGAAUUAUAUUUCAUGAUAUAUAAGUGAGUGCAAACCUCAUCUUAUAAACUGCUUUUUUACAUUUAUGUAGAGCUAAAGUAACAUUCGCAGAGAGUGAUAAUUUUGGACUUGGUUCGUCCUUGUCAGGGAGAGUGAGUUGGUUGAAGAAAUUGGAUCCAGCAACUAUCACAAACAUGACAAGUAUACGGUUCGUGGACACCGAAGGUUGGAUCAACGCUCAUCAAAUCUUGUAAAUUGAUUUCAGAAAGGACCUAAGUGAUGAUGGAUAGGCAUGUAGUAUUAAUUACUAAAUGUUUUUUUUAAGAAAAAUGAUACUUUGACAACUCUGAAAUCAAUUUACAACUGUGAUGUGAUGUAAUAGAGUAUAAUUUUAAGAUAGUUUAACUUUAGUAAGAAGUGUUGUUUCUUCCUCCAAUUGUAAUGUGAUACAGAGUUAUCAAUGUAUCAUAUAUCAUCACUUUUAUUUGAAUGUUAUUCGAAUGUGAACUUUUUAUUUACUUAUUUCAGAAUGAUAUGUUGAUAGGAAAAUGAUGCAUUAACAACUCUUAAAGUUGUAUAUAACUUUUUAAUGUGAUGAGUUUAUAUAAUAAAGAUUACGUUUGUAAUUAAAUGAAAUUAAAAAAUAUUAAAAUAAGAGUAUUGAGGAUUGUAUCAUAUGAUGGUAGAUGAUUGUUGUUACUUGAGGUGUCAGCCUAAUUGAUAUGUAAGUUACAUAGUAAUGUCUAACAUAAAAAAAAAUUAUAAAAAAAUAACAUUGAGGAUUGUAAUGUGAUUAUAUAAAAAAAUUGGAUUACAAUAUAUCAUUACCCAUAUUAUAAAAUUUUUCUACAUCAUAUUAAUGUGUGAUUUUUCAAUAUAGAUAGAAGAAUAUACAUCAUAUUUUUCAUCUUAGUAAUGUAUACAUGUGGUCAACCUCUCUCAAUAAACACAAAAUAAGUGAUGAUUGAAAUAAAAAAGUAAAAUCAUGAUUUUAUAAUCUAUAGUAUGUUACAUAUUUUUUUUUUAUUUACAACUAUAUAUUGGUGGAAUUAUUAUGUGUUUCACCAAAAGUUUGUGGAUGUUUAGUACAAAAUAAAAAUUAGAAAAUAUUAUUGGGCAUGAAAAUAUAUUAUUCCGAGAAAAUGGGAUUUUUUAAUAAUUAUGUCUUUUAUUUUGAAACUUAUUUAUAUUAUUUCAAAACGACAAUAUUGAAAAAGAAAAUUNNNNNNNNNNNNNNNNNNNNNNNNNNNNNNNNNNNNNNNNNNNNNNNNNNNNNNNNNNNNNNNNNNNNNNNNNNNNNNNNNNNNNNNNNNNNNNNNNNNNNNNNNNNNNNNNNNNNNNNNNNNNNNNNNNNNNNNNNNNNNNNNNNNNNNNNNNNNNNNNNNNNNNNNNNNNNNNNNNNNNNNNNNNNNNNNNNNNNNNNNNNNNNNNNNNNNNNNNNNNNNNNNNNNNNNNNNNNNNNNNNNNNNNNNNNNNNNNNNNNNNNNNNNNNNNNNNNNNNNNNNNNNNNNNNNNNNNNNNNNNNNNNNNNNNNNNNNNNNNNNNNNNNNNNNNNNNNNNNNNNNNNNNNNNNNNNNNNNNNNNNNNNNNNNNNNNNNNNNNNNNNNNNNNNNNNNNNNNNNNNNNNNNNNNNNNNNNNNNNNNNNNNNNNNNNNNNNNNNNNNNNNNNNNNNNNNNNNNNNNNNNNNNNNNNNNNNNNNNNNNNNNNNNNNNNNNNNNNNNNNNNNNNNNNNNNNNNNNNNNNNNNNNNNNNNNNUAUAGAGUCGUAGAAUUCAUAUUUUGUACUAAUGAAACAUCCAAUGAAGUGACUUAGACGAUAUCUCCACUUGAGUGCAUCUACCUUCGUUGAGUAAAGGUAUCACACCAUAAUCUCACUAACUAAGAUAAAAACAUGUGCUUGAAUGUAUUUGUUUUCGUUGAGCGAGGGUAUCAGACGAAACAUUCACUAUAGUGAUUGAGACAAUCUUUAUGCACUAGAAAAUAGACAUAUAAAAAUGAAACUAUCUCCUUAUGUUCUUCAAAACAUAUUCUCUUAUCAUGUCAUAAGACUUUUUCAUUCUUGAACUAUAAAUGACUAUACAUUACUUUCACAACUUGAUAUAAAUUGGAUGCUUUGAUUUAGACAAAUAAGGAGAGACUACAAUUUCACACGCAAAAAAUGGAGAUUUCAGACUCAACAUGAUCAUGAAGAACAUCAUACACACUACAACUAAUGUUACUCAUUCUACAUGCAACUGGAGAACAUUAGACAUAAUUGUAACAAAUGUUUUUCAGUUUUUACAUGCAACCAUAGAACAUUAGAUACAAAUGCACCAAAUGUUCUUCAGUUCCUACAUGUAACCAGAGAAUGUUAGAAGUAAUAUCAACAGGUUUUUUUUAGCUUCUAUACAUGCAAUUGGAGAACAUCAGAAUCAAAUGCAACAAAUUUUUUCAAGUUUAGCUGACGACUUAUCCUUACAUGCAACCCAAACACUUCAAACUCAACGUGCAACAAAGGUUCAUGCUACUAAAAUCUUCACAAAUGAACAUGCUCUAUUCCAAAUUUAUUAACUAUGAUAAUCUAAAAUAGUUUUCCUUACUUGAAACUUCUCUUUUUUCCAAGAAGCUUCUAACUCGAAUAAGAAAUCACUACAAGAGAAAUAAUUUAUGAGGUGCAAUCGGAUAGUAAAAAAGACUAUAUUUAAAUGGAUAAAGGUAUAGAAAGAAUAUAGAAAAAUCUUAAAAAACUAAAUACAUGUUUAUGAAAAGAUGGGAAUGAGAUAUUACAUAAUGAAUUUUAGAUUGUAAAAAAAUAUUUAUAUUUAUAUAUUUUUAAAUAUUAAAAAAGUAACAUAACAAUGUUACCAUAAAUUUUAAUUAUAUCACAUUAAAUAACUUUUCUUGAAAGGAAAUUAAAUAACUUAAUCAACAUAGAAACAUAUUAUAUUAUACAUGUAUAAUUAUUUUUGCAUUAAAAUUUCAAUUUAAAAAGGUUAGAAUUUACAUUCUCUGUUUGGUGAAAAACUUGAGUAAAAAACAUUAUGGGAAACCAUAGUUUCCUUGAAAUGUUAUGUUUUUAAAAGCAUAAACUAAACAUAGGAAAAUAACAUUUCCAAUUUCAAAUUUCCAAAAAAGACUAAAAACUUUCCUUGUAACAAGCUUUCUUAAGGAAAUAAAAGAGUUUCACUAAUACUAAUUUUUCCUUUAUUUGUAGACUAGAUCAAAACUUUAAUACACCAUUUUUAACAAUUCAAAUCCAAUUUCUUUAGCAUUGAAGAGAGAAUCAAAAUAAGAAGAAAAAGAGGGAGAAAAUGUUACCAUUAAAAAUUGCCAAAAAACAUGGUGGAGAACAGAAAAUCAUCAUCCUCGAAGAAUGUUAUAGUUGAAUUUGAAAAAACUAACUUCUAAAUCAAUUUUUAAUUGAUAAAUUUUGAAAUGAUAAAGUAACUUAUUUAAUCAUGAAUAUUUUAGUAGAAUUAAUUAAUGAAUUAGUUAAUAAAUAUAAAAUAACAUACACCCAAUUAUAAAAAAAUUACAAUCCUCAUAAAUAUUAUAAUAUUAUAAAUAUAAGUUCACAUAAAACAAUAAUCCAUUUCAAUAUUAUAAGUAUUUAGAAGAACUAAAAUUAUAAAAUUAUAUAAAAAAAACAUAUUUAACUCUUAUACAAUUAUAACUUUUCAUUUUCUAAGCAUUAUAAAUUAAAAUUAACCUGAAAAUAUAAUCACUACAUACAAAGCAAUACUUCAAUAGUAUUAAAAAAAAAAACAAUUCCACUACAAUUUAACUACAUAACUACAAGAUCAAAAUAAUAAUUUCCAUAACAUUUCAACAGAAUAAAAAUAAUGGAAACAAAUCUCGUGACAUAUUUUUUUAAUCUUCUCUCCAAAUCUCUUAACUAUGAUUUUUCUUUUUUCCUUCUUUCUCGUUUAUAGAAGUUCAACGUUUGUUAUAAUAGUGAAUCAUUGGUUUUCUUUGUAUCAAUCAACUAAUUAAAGUAAUUUUGAUUGAAAGAGAAAAAUAUACUGAUAAACCAUUAAUCAAAAAUUGAAAUCAUGAAUCCAUUUAAAUUUGUUUAAUAAACUAAAUUACAGUUACUGUGUAACGAACAAAACAUCAGUUUCUUUUGUUUCCGUUUCGCAACCUCGUUCACACAAAACAAGAAUAACAAUAAAUAUAAAUUGAUUUGAAGAUAAAUGAGAAAAAGAAAUAUGAGUGUUAAAAUUGGAACCUAUGUAGCAUAGAUACGGAUACAGGUACUGACAUAGAGAUAUAUAAUAUCUAAAAUGUAGGACACAAGACACGGAUUUAUAAAUUAUAUAAUUUUGAAUUAUAUAAAUUGAAAAUAAAUAAUAUUUAUGUGUAAAAGUAUAUUUCAAAUUCUUUUGAGAGCAGGAUGAUAUUUUUCAUGACUGAUUCAAAAGAAUUUGUUCCCCUUAUUUUUAUAAAUCAUAAUACAAAUUUAUACAAAAAAAAAUGAGUUUUUAAAAAUUAUUGUAUUUAUACAUUUUAAAAUUGUGAUAGAACAGUGGUAGAAUUUUUCAAAAAUCCAACAAAUAUUUUUUGAAUUGAAUACUUAACCGAUAAGUGUCCUACAAGUGUCGACACCUAUACGUAUGUCCGAUACGUCAUUUAAAAAAAGUGUGUAAGACUCUGGUAACCAUUUGAGUUGAUGCAAGGGCGGAAGAAUAUAAAUUAUAAUAAAAAAUAUUGAAAAAAAAACAUUUAUGAAAAAAAGAAAAGUUGGUGGCUCUAGGAUAUGUUUGUUGGAGAAAAUGGAUUAAAAUUAAAAACCGUAUUUAAAAUUCCAACUCACGAAACACCAACCCACCAAAAAAACACGCUCUACUUAACUCAUCCUAAACUAUUUACUACACCUCAACGUGAAGGCGUUACCUACAAAAACACCGAUUCGAGGAAACUGGGUCCCACACGCAUGUUCAUUCAUUCGUGUUCUUCUUCAUGUUCAUGGUAUGUUCUGUUCUCUGUCACACACCUUAAACUCUUCUUUCUCUUCUUUCUUCUUAUUCGCUCUUUCUUCCACCCUUCAUUUAUAUUCCAAUUCUUUCCCACCCCGAAUCUUUUUUCCAGCUUUUUGUCACAUUCUAAACCAAAAUUCCCUUUCUUUCCUUUCGGGGUAUCUUUUUAUCGAGUGCACAAUGCUGUGUGAGUGACUGUGAUCACAGAGAAUAGAGAGAAAGAAAAAAAAGAUCGUUUUUUUUCUUCUGGGUUUUUCUCCCUUUUGUUGUCUCUCCAUUGCUGCGAAUCUUCGCCACCCUCUUGCGCUUUCUGUGAGAGUGUGCCAGGUUUUGGAGGACAGUCCAAGAACGUGAUUCUGGGUGGGUGCAGCGUCGAGGUUUUUGAGAAACAGUCCAAGAACGUGAUUCUGGUGGGUGCAGCAUCAAGGUUUUUGGAGUGAUCACAACGCGAAAUCACGGUAACGUCUACAUUUUUUGAGUCAUCGUCGCCAUUUUUGUCUGCGAUUUCCCGUGACGUUGAGAAUCGCGUGGGAAUCGCAUCGUGAUCAUAUGGGUUUUGUUUCUUGGGUUGUUGGGUUGUUGUUUUUUGUGGGGUUUGAGUGUGCGUGGUGUCAAGAUGAUGUUGUGAUGAACAUGUUGAAGAAGGCCGUCAAAGAAUCGGAUGGUCUUCAAUGGAAUGACCCGGAUGUGUGUAAAUGGAAGCACGUUCAGUGCAGCGCCAUGAAGAGGGUCACUGCAAUUCAAAUUGGGGGACAGAGUUUGCAGGGUUCUCUGCCAAAGGAACUGGGGCAGCUCUCGGAGUUGACACGGUUUGAGUGCAUGAGCAAUAACUUCACUGGGCCAUUUCCUAACAUGCCAAAGUCCCUUGAGGUUCUGCUCAUCCACAACAACAAUUUCCAAUCCUUUCCGGGUGAUUUCUUCACCGGCAUGACCAAUUUGCAGUCUGUGAGCAUUGGCUACAACCCUUUUUCACAGUGGGGGAUUCCUGAUAGCCUCAAGGAAUGUGUGGCUCUCAGGAGUUUCUCUGCAAUCAAUGCUGGCUUUGUGGGGAAAAUCCCUGAUUUUUUUGGUAAAGAUGGUCCCUUCCCAGGUUUGGUUUCUCUUGCCUUGAGUUUUAAUUCUCUUGAAGGAGGGUUGCCUGCAACCCUUUCUGGGAGUUCUGUGGAGACACUAUGGUUGAAUGGUCAGAAAAGUAGUAGUAAACUCAAUGGUACCCUUGAUGUGCUAAAGAGCAUGACAUAUUUGAAACAAAUUUGGGUGCAUGGUAACUCGUUCACAGGUCCUAUACCGGACUUGUCAAAACAUGAUCAACUAUAUGAUGUGAGCUUUAGGGAUAACCAGUUAACUGGGGUUGUUCCACCCUCUCUUACUGCUCUUCCUGCACUUAAAGUAGUGAAUUUGACCAAUAACUUACUUCAAGGCUCUCCUCCCUUGUUCAGAAAUGGAGUGCAGGUUGAUAAUGAUUUAGAGAAGGGGAUCAAUAGUUUUUGCACAAUGGAGGCUGGUAAGCCAUGCAGUCCUCUUGUGGAUGCUUUACUUUCUGUUGUUGAACCUUUUGGAUAUCCUCUAAGACUUGCUGAAAGUUGGAAGGGGAAUGACCCUUGUGGUCAAAGAUGGUUGGGGAUUGUUUGUGCAAAUGGUAACGUUUCCGUCAUUAACUUGCAGAACAUGAAUCUCUCUGGCAACAUUUCUCCCAGUUUUGCUUUGCUUACAUCUGUGACAAAGUUGCUUCUUGGAGGCAAUAGCCUCACUGGUACCAUACCAAGUCAACUCACCAGCAUGCCUCUUUUGGUAGAAUUGGAUGUCUCCAACAAUCAAUUGCUCGGAAAGGUGCCGUCUUUUCGUGGGGGUGUAGCUGUUAAAACUGAUGGGAAUCCUGAUAUUGGAAAGGAUAAACCUCAAGCCCCACCAGACUCCAGUUCUCCGGGUAAAUCUGGAGGUCAAGUUACGAAAAAUAAUACUGGAGCAAUUGUUGGCACUGUGUUGGGAGGUGUCAGUUUACUUGGUUUAGGGGCUUUCAUAUUUCUUAUGUAUAGUAGAAAACGUAAGCGCGCAGGCAAAGUUCAAAGUCCUAGUGCAAUAGUGAUACAUCCUCGUUAUUCUGGAGAUGGAAAUGGUCUGAAGAUAAGUGUUGCAGAUGCUGGUGUUAGUGGUGGUGGAGGUGGUGGUGGAGGAGGAAUUAGUGCUCUCAGUCCAGCUAGUAGUAUUCAACAUGUGGAGGCUGGUAGUAUGGUCAUUUCAAUCCAAGUUUUGAGACAAGUUACAAACAAUUUCAGUCAGGGAAAUAUAUUGGGGAGAGGUGGUUUUGGCACUGUAUACAAAGGGGAAUUGUACGAUGGAACAAAAAUUGCAGUGAAAAGGAUGGAAUCUGGAAUGAUGGGUGAGAAGGGGCUGGGAGAGUUUGAGUCUGAAAUUGCAGUACUUACUAAGGUUCGACACAGACAUCUGGUUGCACUAGAAGGCCACUGCUUGGAUGGACAUGAGAAGCUUCUUGUGUAUGAAUACAUGCCUCAGGGUCCUCUCAGUAAACAUUUAUUUGACUGGAAAGAAGAAGGGAUACAACCACUGGAUUGGAAGAGAAGGCUCUCCAUUGCCUUGGAUGUUGCUAGAGGUGUUGAAUAUCUUCACGGUUUGGCCCAACAAAUUUUUAUCCAUAGGGAUCUAAAACCAUCAAACAUCUUGCUUGGGGAUGAUAUGCGGGCCAAAGUCUCAGACUUUGGAUUGGUUCGGCUUGCCCCAGAAGGACAGACCUCAUUUGAAACUAGGCUUGCUGGUACUUUUGGAUAUUUGGCUCCAGAGUAUGCAGGUACAAAUUUAAAUUGCUUUUGAAAAUUUUGUUUUCAUACAGUUAACACAUCUGAAAAAAAUUUAGGGGAGAACUAUUUGUUCUGCUUGUCAUAUGUGAAAUUUUCUUAUCCAGCAUUGUCAUAUACUUUAAGAAUGGAUGAUGAAUCUGCAACAUGUAGGCACUUAUUGUGCUAUAGGUUUCUACUGUAGUGUCUCUCAUAUGAACCCCUGGAGUUAAUGAAUAAGCUAUGGAGGAAAAGAUUGAUUGCAAAAGUCUAACUACUAUGACUUUUUUCUCAAGUUUUGUCUGGAAACAACUGCAUUGAGAAUGAUGACAUUGUUUAUUAAAUGUUAGCAUAUGAAGACAACAAAAAGACUUAAAAUUCUUUUGUUUAUUUUUUCUGUGUGCUUUCUAAAAACCAUUGAAAUAUUUUGUUUGAUUUGCAAUCCUAUACAGCCUAAUCACAUUGUGUUUUUUUUUCUUCAACAAUGAUCAUUAGAAUGUGUAUUCUUCAUGGUGUUAGCGGCACAUAUAGAAAGAGGAACAUGAUUUGUUUGUGUAUUCUUUCAUCCUUGUAUUAGUUAUUGUACUUUUAAAUUAGUGAAUUAUUCCAUAAACUCUAGAACAAAUAUAUGAAUUUGGUUGUUUUCCAACUCUGAUCAUUAAGAACGUUACUAGAUAUUAAGUUUUAGUAUUAGAAAAGACUAAAUUCACAGACUUUUUAAAAUUGGUAUGACAAAAAGUACAUAUUCUUAAAGCAUUAUUUUCCCUUUACAGAUUACAAUGUCUGUGCCAUGCUUUAUCUACAACUGUGUACAUUAUUGCUUCAUAUUAAUAGGCCAAUUACACUGUUUUUUAGAAUCUGUAGUUCAUGACAUUAUAUCAGAGGUAGUUUUUCCUCCUUUUUGUCCAAUUCCUUGCUAACUAAAAUGGUAUCACUGGCAGUGACUGGACGAGUUACAACAAAGGUUGAUGUUUACAGCUAUGGAGUGAUUCUGAUGGAGAUGCUAACAGGAAGGAGAGCAAUUGACAACAGCCAACCAGAAGAGAAUGUCCACCUUGUUACAUGGUUCAGGAGGAUGCUACUGAACAAGGACUCUUUUGGCAAGAUUGUUGACCCCAUAAUGUGUGUUGAUGAGGAGGCCUUGCCCAGUUGCAGGACUGUGGCUGAGUUGGCUGGUCACUGUUGUGCAAGAGAACCUCACCAGCGUCCAGACAUGAGCCAUGUGGUGAAUGUCCUAGCCCCUCUUGUGGAGAUUUGGAAGCCUUCUGAGACAGAUGAUGAAGAUGUUUAUGGCAUUGACUUGGAUAUGACAUUGCCACAAGCACUCAGUAAGUGGCAGGCUCUUGGAGGAAGGAACACCUUUGAUGGAUCAACCUCUUCAUCAAUGCUUACCAGUGGAGAAAAUACACAGUCUAGCAUACCAACUAGGCCAUUUGGAUUUGCUAAUUCUUUUAAUUCCUCUGAUGGAAGAUGAAGUUUGGUUUACAUUUACAAUACUGCUUCUGUCUAUUUUCUUUUGCUUCUUCCCCAAACUUUGGAACUCUUUAUAGGGUUGGUUUAUACUUUAUAGUGUCUAUAGUUGGGCUUAUACUACACCUUGUACUCCUUAAACUUUCAUGGUCUUUGGUUGGCUUUUGGAUUUUUAAAUUUAGUGGUAUAUUGGAUGCAAGAAACCAGAGAUGCUGAACAAGUUUCAGUUCAACUUGUGUUUUCUUUCUUUUAGACUUCAUUGCAGUGAGCAUGAGAAACAGGAUUUGGUUAUGCUUUUCAUGAUCAACUAUGCUAUUAGAUGAUGUAAAUUAUUACUCAAAGUGUAAAUUAUGAAAGCGACUAAAACUUUCAGGUGUUCAUUUUUUACUCAAAUGAUUUGGUGUUUAGAAUGGAUCAAGAAUGGGGAAGGGAUUUGAACUGUUUAGAAUUUGGAAAAUUUUGGUGAAUGUUUUUGAAAAGUUUGAAAAUUUUAGAUUUUGAGUGAAAUAUGAUGAUUUGAUUAGUGGAUUUCGAGCCAAGAAUAAAUGGUUUCAGUGUUUCAAUUUGUGGGCAUUCUGAAUACAAAACGACAAUUCUUGAAGUUUUAAGUAAAAAAUUGGAAAGCAAAAUUUGAAUAAAAAUUACUAAGGAUCAAAAUUGAACAUUAAGCUCGAUAGAAAGGAUAUUGAUUCCUCAUUGACAUGUAGCCUUAAGUUUUAUUCCAUUACAACACUACUUUUCUUCAAUUUUUAAAUCACAAAUGUAUAUAAAGAUUGGUUAAAAUUAAUUUAUCUCUACACUACUUUGCUCAAGAAAAAAAAUAUAUGAAAGAAGUUGAGUUUGAAAUACAUUGUUUGAAGGAUCUUAGAAGAAGAAAUAUAAUUUAAUUUGAAAUCUCAAUUUUCAUUUUCUAUAAUGAUUGAAGUAUAUGUCAAGUUAACAAGAUUUGUAGAGAAAAUUUUGGAAUUUUUAGACGUAUUCGUUGUAGUCAACUCUUCCACAAAUCAAGACCAAAGUAAUUCAACUGAAGCAAUAAUUUAAUAUGGAGGACUUAUCCAAAGGACUACCAUGACAAAAAGUUCAAAUAGUUAUGGUCUAACAUACACAUGUGUCAAUCCUAAAAUGUCUCACAUAAUUGUUCUUUCAAUAAAUUAUUUCAAAACAUAUAAAAAUAUUACAGAAUGGAAACCGAAUACAAGUUACAAAAAUAAACUAUAGACGUCCAACUAGAGUUGUGAAUACAAAAACUUGUACACAACACAUUACAAAUACAAAAUGAUGGUAACGUCCAACAAAUGGUUAAUGUUAGAAAAGUCAAGUUCUUAAUCUAAGUGUACAACAUAAUAUUCAACAGCAAAGAAAAACUGCUUCUACCAGAAAAAGAAAAUAUAUAAUUACAUAUACAAAACGACGUAACUAUAAAACAUCACAAAAUUAAGCUAAAACACACGUAAUAUACAAUCACAUAUACCUUAUUAGCAAAUACAAGUUUAAGUCUAUAUAGGUUUACUAAAAUUAAAAAGAAAAGAGUUCAUCUCUCAACUAACUUUUUGGCUUCAAAAUUAUUUUUCACGUUAUGUACUUUUAAGAGAAAGAAAAAUUAACAAAGUUUGUAAAUGAAUGUAGUGUAAAAUAUGAAACUAUAUAAAACCAUAAUUUCAAUUUAGGCAUCUUUGUUUUUUUCGAAGUUUGAUUUUUUUUUAAUAUACUUAAGUUAGUCCUAUUAAUAUGAACUUUAGAGUUAUGGUUUUUUUUUUCCUAUUUGUUUUCCUUGAACAAAGUUACUCUAUUUGUGUUAGAUGAAGUUUAUCAAAGUAUGAUAUGAUAAAAAAAAACAAAUAAAUAAUGAUGAAUGAAACAUGUGAUGCGAUAACAAAUUAUACAAAUAACAUUUUAUUUAAUUGAUUGAAACACUACAAUUAGAUCAUACUGGCAUCUAAAUAGUUUUAAAAAGCUUAACUAAUAUUACUUGAGAAUUGAAAGAAGAAAAAUGUUUAGACUUACUUCAUUAGUAAUAAACUUUCAUUCCUAAACCUUUUUAUUAGCUUAUUUUUUUUAAAGAAAUGUUAAUUAUUAAAUGACAUAAAAUAAUUAAAAUUUAUCAAUUUAUUCAAUUUUACGUAUACUUUAAAAAUUCUCUAAAUCAACAUUUGUUUCUUUAUAAUUAUUUUCAAAUCUUUACCCAUAGUAAUGAUCAUUAUUAGAACAAACUAAAAUAAAUAAAUAAAAGUUAGAAACAUACUUUAGAGAAUCAUGAUUUAGAAGAAGAGGCAAAAGGUAUUGAAUGAAUAUUUUAGUAUAUUAAGAUUUUUUUUAGUGUGACCACUUCACCUUAAGAUCUUUUGAUUUCUUGAAAACACAAUAGAAGAUGUUUUUUUAUUCUUCUGAUAAAAGUGUAUAUUUUGCAUCUGAAACCAUCUAUAAUUGGAUAGAAUAUUAUCUUAAACUUGACAUAAAACUUGAUAGGGAAAGAAAAUAAUUUAUUUUUUUUGACAUGUUUUAAAAGUAAAGGAACAACUCCAAGAACAACAUUAAAAAAAAUAGAAGAGGUAACUCUUCAUGAUGGUAUAUAAUUAAGAAUCAUUUAUAUAUGUUGAUUCUUUUAAGGGAAUUGACUAGAAUUCUACACCAAUGAAACUUUGAAUCAAAUAAAAAAAAACCUUAAUGUCAUGGAUUUAUAGGUUUUUUUUCUUCAUAUAUUACUCAUUUUUCUCAUUUUUACUCAAUGUAGUACUUAAAUUUACAUUUGGAUUCUUAAUAAUCUCCUCUUCAAGUAAGAGUUUAAUCCACUUUUUGUUAUUGUAGUUCGUUCGAGCGGAAUAAUUUCUAACCACCCUAACUUAUAUCACAUUAUUGUUCACAUAACCGGAUCAACUUGUUUAAAACUUCCGUCGUUAAGACUACUCAUAUAAAUUAGUCAUCAAAAUAAAUCAUCGAUUCUAAUACCAAUGUUAAGUCUCUCCAAACAAAUUUAUUGAUAGAUUCCAAUAAGACUGAGAAUAAUAUAUAUGCAAUUUUCCACUCAUAUAUGAUCAUUAAUAUCUUUAUAUUGAAUCUUAAUUAAUUGAUUCAUCAUAAUAAUACAUAACUUAAUCGUACUCAAGUGGUACAUAAAUUAGACCAUGUGGCAAAACCUACUUGGAUAGAAGAUAAAAUUUAUCAUAAAUGUUUGAUUUUUUUAGCAUGGAAUGAUUCAAUUCAGUUUGCACACUUUGAUGCUUUGAAGGUGCAAUUUGAAUUGGAAAUUAAGAAUCUCAAGUAUUUUAUUAAAAUUUAUUAAAAUAAAUAAAUCGUUUUUUAGGAACAUAACUUUAUAGUAGUUAUGCUUUUAAAACACAAUUUAUUUAUUUUUUAAUUUAAUUGUAAAAAUCGUAUUUAGAAUUAUGUUUUAUUUUAAUUAACGUAAAAAUUGUACUUAAAACUACAAAUCGAGGUUUUAUUUUCUUUUAAAUAUAGGUAAAAUGUUGUGAGCACAUGUUUAAUAUAAUUAAAUUUAUAUUAAAUAUUAAAGUAAUGUUUAGAAGAUAAGGGGAUGAAUCUAGAAGAUGAAAAUGAAUUAAAUAAUGGUGUGCCACCUAAAUAUUGUUAAUAUAUGAAUGAUGAUGGGUUCAUGAAUUAAACCCUAGAAAGCAACUUGUGAAGGACCUCAAAGUCAAGCACCAAGAAGCUCAUGAGAUAAAGUGGUGCAUGACAAAUACAAUUUUAUUUUAAACAUAAAAAAUGAAAAAUAUUAAAAGUAAUGCUUUUUAACACGACUUAUACAUUAAAAUUAAAAACAAAUUAAUAUAAUUUUUUUAUAAAGUCAUGAUUCUUUAUACAACUUAUUCAUUUACAUAUUUUUUUUUAUAUUUAGAUCCAUAAUUAACAAUUUAAGUUGUAUUCUGAUAUACUUAAUAAUCUUUAAAAAUUGAGAAUUAUGAUAAUUUAAAUACAUAUUUCUUUUUUAAUAUUUUGAUACAUCUUUCAAAAAUAAAAUCGUGGUGGAGUUCAAAACUUUAAAAUUGACAAUAUUUCGUUUAUGAUGAUUGAUUGAACAUUGUUAUUUCAAUAGACUUAAGGUCAGAACAUUGAUACAGGUUGUGAGAAUGGAAAAUUGGUUUCAAAGAAGAAUCUCAUUCCCCUUAAACUUUGAUUGGGAGAUUUGUUUCGGUAUGUUCAAUAGUGUCACCUUUUAGAAGUUAAGGUUAGAGGCAAUGACCUCCCUCGUUUGAGACAUCUUUUAAGGAAAAAAGAAACUAUAAUGGAGCUUCAAACUCUGAAAUAGACAAUGCUUAAUGAUUAACUCUAACGAUGUUAUCUGACAUACUAAAGGUCAAAACAUUGAAUCAUCUAUAAAAAUAGAAAAGUUUUUUCCAAAAAUAAACAUUCGUUCCUCUUAGACCUCGAUUCAUGUUCGUUUUAGUGUGCUCAAUAAUCUCACAUCAUUGAGACACAUUUUAAGGACAAAAUCGUAACGGAAUUCUGAACUCCAAAGUAAACAAUAUUUCAGAUGGGAUAAUUGACCUUAAUAAUAUUAUCUCAAUAAAUUCUUGACCUCUUAACCCUCAACUUAAGAAAUUAAAAAGUGAUUUCAAAAACAAAUUUUCGUUCCCUUUAUUUUAAUACUCUCAAUAGUCUCACAUGAUUAAAUAAGCAAAUGAGAGUAGAAGAAGGUGUGAAUAUUGACCCCUUGGAGGAGAAACAUGUGACAAUUACUAAUUUACCCUUUCACCAUAAAUGUACACAUGUCGAGCAUUAAGUUGUCCCAAGUAUAUAUAUUCAUACAGCUGGAUAAGUAAUACUUCUAUAAAUUCUUAAUUCAUAUUAUACAUAUUAUUUUUAAUGUUAAAAUUUUAAUUUAAAAAGUAAUAAUAUUAUAUAUAUUUUAAUAUAAAAACAUGUAUGAUUAAAACAAUAAUAAAAACAUAUGUUGGACAAUAUUUUUAACUAAGGGGAAAUGCAAUUAUUAAUAAAAACAAAUGUAACUUUAAUACAUAUUUUAUUCAUACAUAUUUUAUUAUGAAUAAAAUAUGUGAGAAAGAAGAAAAGGUUUGUUUUGGAAAAGGUUAGAAUAAAAGGAGAAAAGGUGAGAAAGAAUUAACGGUUUGUUUUGUUGUGAAUAGAUUGAUUAAAAAAAAUAUUAAAUUAAAAUUAAUUUUAGAAAUUAAAAUAAUUAAUAAAUUUAAUUUAAAGAAUUGUUGAUAUCUAAAAUAAUAUUUAUUAUAAUAAAAAUUUAUAAAGUAGUUUUUAAAUUGAUAUCUUAGUUAUUAAAAUUUUAACUAAUAACUAUUUUAUAUUUUAAAUUAUUCUUUAUUUGUAUUUUAGAGACUAAUUUAAAAUUCAAAAUACUAUUACCUAAAAUCUAAGUAAUUAAUAUAUUAAUUUAAAAAUUAUUUUAUAAUUUUUUUAUUAAUAAUAUAAAUAAUUUUAAAUAUUAAUAUUUUUUAAUUUUUAAAAAAUAUCUAAUUUAGACAAUAUAAUAAUAAAUUUAUGUUUAAAUCUAAUUAUUAUUUUUAGGUAUAAUAUUGGAUAAAAAAAAAUCAGUGGAUUAAAAGUACCCAUUAUUAUAACGUUAGAUAGGGUAUUCAAUGGAUUAAAAGUACCAAUUAUUGUCUUGGAGAGAUAUUUUAUUGACCAAAUCUUGAGCCAGAAGAAUAUAUAUCAAUAUUAUUUUUAAUUUUUAAUAUAUUUUAUAUCCAAAAAAUUCGUACACCUAAAAGUAAUUUUUACCAUACCAAAAUAUUUCUUAUAAAUCUGUCACUCCUCUUUACGGGGCAUUUGUGGAAUAUGAAAUGAAUUCAAAUACUAAAGACUUUGACUUUUGAACGUUCAAAUUACUCUAAGUGCUUUAUAAUAAUGUAAAUAAUAAAUAAAAAAAUCUAAUGAAAAGAGUGAAUUUCUUUUUAAAUUUGUAAAUUCUCUAUCAUGAAAUUCGAAAUUUUUUUUUAAAAAAAAUCACAUAUAAAAAAAAUUCUUGUGAGCAUAAAAUUAAUUAAGAUUAUGAUAAAUAAAAGAAUUAAUUAAUUGAUAAAUAGUUUAUUACUGAAUUUUAAUUAUAAUUUAAGAUUCAACCAAAAGGUGAUUAAAUAUUGAAUUACUAAAUUCUCCUUUAAUAUCUAAUAAUAGGAAUAUGGAAUUUAUAUAUUAAAUUAUUAUUUUUCUUUUUUCUAUCGGCAAAUAUUAAUUGUUAUUUGGUAGAAAAGUCUAAUGCACCGCCAAUCAUUCUCUCUCAUCCAUUUCUUCCACAAAAUUAACUUUAUCUCCUAUUAAUUAAUAUUUUUUUUCUAAAAUAAUAAUAUUUAAAUACUCUUCUCUUUUUUCUAAUGGUUUGUCAGAUAUUUAACUUUUCUCUUUUUUAAUUAAAGAUAUUUUAAUAUAAAAAAUAACCACUUUUGAAAAGAAUAUUAUUGGUCAAUUAAAAAAUAACACCCCUUCUAAUAACCACUGAUUUUAGAGGGUGGAUUUAAUCGUAGGGUUAGAGGAUGAUUGUAAUUUAUAAAUUUAAUUAUUCUAAAUUAAAUUAAUGAUGUAUUUUUUUCUGUUAUUGUUAUUAUUAUGUACAGAAUUAUAAAAAAAAAAAUCAGUUUAUUAUUAUUUACUUUGUACGAAUAAACUGUAACUAAACAUAUUGUUUAUAUUAUUUGUUUGAUUCCAUGUAUGAACAGAGACUAGUUUUUGGUUCUUUUUCUGACAUAUAUAAGGUUGUUUAUUUAACACAACUUUCCUCUUUCAAACAUUACAGUUGAACACUUCAGAUGUGAAAGUUGAACCCAAUUGGAGUGACUCCAAAAUCAGUCAAAUAUAGCCGCAGUACAUAGAUUCUGGUUUUCAUAACAUUUUGCAACAAAAUAAAUGGUAGAUAAAACUGAGGAAUGUAAUAAAAUUAUGCAAGUGGUGGCAGAAAUAUGUUUAUUUAUUUGUUUGAAGAUGUUCAAAUGCAAGUGGUAGCAGAAAUAGGAAUAUUCAAGAUGUUCAAAUGCAAGUUGUUAUUAGAGGGCCAUCAAAUAAUUAGUGUUCUUUUUCUGUUCUUGCUCUCUCAAGUUUUUAAUGAAGUUUUUGAUUUUUGGUUACAAAGUGAUGGUUGCUUAAAAUAAGAUGAGAAAGUUUUACCCCAAAAAUGAGGAUGAAGCAAUGACAUAAUCUGAUAAAAGCAUAGAACAGAAGAGAGUCAAGUCAAUGUUCUAAGUCUACACGCUCAAAUAUGAUAGCCGCCACUGAUUCUUCAAUUUAACCAAACCAACCACAAAUGUUUGCAUUUCAUUCACUGCACAAUAGUUGACCAAACCAUGCCUCUCUCCACCCCUUCCUUCUUCCUCCUCACCCUCUUCUUCUUCCUCCUCUUCAAUCUUCAACCCUCUUUCUCCCAACAACAAUUCUCAUCCUUCAACACCUCACACUCCCCAUGGCAACCAUCUCAGAACAGAACCCUUAUCUCUACCAACAAAAACUUCACUGCAGGCUUCUUUCCCCUACCAAACACCACCCUCUUCACCUUUUCCAUUUGGUUUUCUCA
This 35878-nucleotide long non-coding RNA is filed under the name Phaseolus vulgaris (common bean). RNAcentral describes it as "long non-coding RNA (PVUL_LNC003749)". The record is from RNAcentral. Lineage: Eukaryota; Viridiplantae; Streptophyta; Magnoliopsida; Fabales; Fabaceae.